Molecule: ribosomal RNA, 478 nt
Filed under: uncultured bacterium
Lineage: Bacteria
Description: partial 16S ribosomal RNA
Rfam family: Bacterial small subunit ribosomal RNA
Source: RNAcentral
GAUGAACGCUGGCGGCGUGCCUAACACAUGCAAGUCGAACGGAGUCCAGCCUUAGAGACCUUCGGGUCAAAGAGGGGAAGACUGAGUGGCGGACGGGUGAGUAACACGUGGGCAACCUGGCUCAUAGAGGGGGAUAACAGAGAGAAAUUUCUGCUAAUACCGCAUAAGCACACACUGCCGCAUGGCAGAGUGUGAAAAGAGAAUCGCUAUGAGAUGGACCCGCGUCUGAUUAGCCAGUUGGCAGGGUAAGAGCCUACCAAAGCGACGAUCAGUAGCCGAUUUGAGAGGAUGAACGGCCACAUUGGGACUGAGACACGGCCCAAACUCCUACGGGAGGCAGCAGUGGGGGAUAUUGCACAAUGGGGGGAACCCUGAUGCAGCGACGCCGCGUGAGCGAAGAAGUAUUUCGGUAUGUAAAGCUCUAUCAGCAGGGAAGAUAAUGACAGUACCUGAAUAAGAAGCCCCGGCUAACUACGUG